This 84-nucleotide transfer RNA is filed under the name Omnitrophica WOR_2 bacterium RIFCSPHIGHO2_02_FULL_50_17. RNAcentral's name for it is "tRNA-Leu". It matches the Rfam family "tRNA". From Rfam's summary of the family: Transfer RNA (tRNA) molecules are approximately 80 nucleotides in length. The record is from RNAcentral. Lineage: Bacteria; Pseudomonadati; Candidatus Omnitrophota. RNAcentral also lists the same sequence under 1 other name.
GCCGAAGUGGUGAAAUUGGUAGACACGCAGCGUUCAGGGCGCUGUGGGAGCAAUCCCAUGAGAGUUCAAAUCUCUCCUUCGGCA